RNAcentral lists this small nuclear RNA (101 nucleotides) under Jaculus jaculus (lesser Egyptian jerboa). The record is from RNAcentral. Lineage: Eukaryota; Metazoa; Chordata; Mammalia; Rodentia; Dipodidae.
UUAUUGAGUAUAGACCCAGCAUAAUUGAAAUGAUACAGAGAACAUAAAUUUGACCCCUGCUCAAGGUUGACACACAGAUUCAUGAAGCAUUCCAUAUUUUG